UAAAACGAUAUGAAUGUCAUAUUUUAAAAUAAAAAUUGUGAUGACGUAACUGAAACCCAUGGCGGGAACUAAAAGAACAAGCCCGCACUAUUUUGUUCAGCGGCGGUUGCUAUCAAUCAUGCGCACAUGAAAAGGCGCAAUUUUAUCAACCGUCGUCGGAGCAGUUUAGUGUGAAGUUGCAGUUUUUAUAAUCACAGGAAUUAGAAGAAAAAUCUCAAAUAAGCUUUAAUUUUUGCUUUGUUGAUUCUAACUGUUAAUUGUCAUGUUAAACAGUUGUUAUUAUUCCUUCUUUUUCAGCCAUCAGGGACGUCAAGAGAGGCCACUACUUCUGAAUCUUCCCGGACACCAACUUGUCCUAAAAUUCGAGUAAAGCUACUUGUAGGGUAUCACUUGUAGUACACCUUCGACAGGAGGGAGAUCAACUCCCAGUUUGGAUUGUAAUGAUAAUGAUCAGGAUAGCACCGAUUCUCACAGACAAAAGCAUCGAGUCUGACUCCGAAGCAAUGGAAGUAGAAAAAGUCACCUAAGAAGCAGAAACACCGAAGAGUACAAACAACUGUACUCCACACUGAAAUCCACUACAGUUGCUUGUAAGCCCAAGCAGUCUGGGCUUGAAGAUUCUAACAAAAAAAAUUCCCAAAGGAGCAGGGAAGAAACUGUGUAAGGCAAAACAGAAAGAGAAGAGUCCAGCGUAAAAAAGCUGCACAGGCAAAUUCCAAUGCCAAAGAAAUAUCAGAUUUGAGACCACGGUGAUGCAAAAUCUUAAAUAAAGAAAACGUCUACAUCAGGCUAAUACCUACAGGGAGUUUGUUGAAUGUUAAAUCACUUUGUUGCAGAAGGAAUGGUCGUUUGUAGCUUUUAAGCCAUCUAAUUCUAUUUUGACAAUUCUAUUGGAGCACCUAUUACUUGAAGAGCAAGUCUCCCUUCCCCUUGGCAUUGAUAAUAUUUUAUCUUUGAAGCAAGCGAGUGAAUUAAAGAUUUAAUAUUAAAGUACUGGAUGGAU
This is a long non-coding RNA of Exaiptasia diaphana, 1003 nucleotides long. RefSeq lists it as uncharacterized. The record is from RefSeq and is a predicted model, not a curated record. NCBI's taxonomy places the organism in Eukaryota, Metazoa, Cnidaria, Anthozoa, Actiniaria, Aiptasiidae. The transcript has 4 exons.